This 776-nucleotide ribosomal RNA is filed under the name uncultured Neocallimastigales. RNAcentral's name for it is "partial large subunit ribosomal RNA". It matches the Rfam family "Eukaryotic large subunit ribosomal RNA", at positions 23 to 647 of the family's 3401-position model. The record is from RNAcentral. Lineage: Eukaryota; Fungi; Neocallimastigomycota; Neocallimastigomycetes; Neocallimastigales.
AGAGAGAGACAUGCGCGCAUAUCAAUAAGCGGAGGAAAAGAAACUAACAAGGAUUCCCCUAGUAACGGCGAGUGAAGCGGGAAGAGCUCAAAUUUGAAAUCUUAAAGGGUUUCCCUUUACGAAUUGUAGUUUAAAGAAGUGUUUUCUGUUGAGGUUUUGGUAAAAGUUCUUUGGAAUAGGACAUCAUAGAGGGUGAGAAUCCCGUAUUUGACCUUUACUUUCAACUUUGUGAUACACUUUCAAGGAGUCGGAUUGUUUGGGAAUGCAGUCCAAAAUGGGUGGUAAAUUUCAUCUAAAGCUAAAUAUUGGCGAGAGACCGAUAGCGGAACAAGUACCGUGAGGGAAAGAUGAAAAGAACUUUGAAAAGAGAGUUAAACAGUACGUGAAAUUGUCAAAAGGGAAGCGUUUGACACCAGUGUUGUUUUUCUGAAAAUCAAUUAAAGAACUGUUUAUGCUAAGCUGUUUAGACUUUAUCAGCUAAUCUGUUUAGUUUUGAGCUUUUCUUUAAUGCACUUUUCAGUUAACAAGUCAACAUCAAUUUCUUUUGCUGUAAAAAAGCUUGAGGAAGGUGGCUUGAGAUUCGUCUUAAGUGUUUAUAGCCUCUUGCCUAUGCAGUCGGAGAGAUUGAGGUCUGCAGCGUAGAUCCUUCGGGGCUAAAUGCAUUUGUGCUAAGUUAUAGCAUUUUAUAGACAACUUGUUGACUAUGAUUUGUCUUGUAGCUUACUCGCUUAUGUUAUUUUACCUACGCUUAGGAUGUUGACGCAUGAGAUAUACGC